GCUUGUCUCAAAGAUUAAGCCAUGCAUGUCUAAGUAUAAAUAGUAUACAGUGAAACUGCGAAUGGCUCAUUAAAACAGUUAUAGUUUAUUUGAUAAUUGAAAAUUACAUGGAUAACCGUGGUAAUUCUAGAGCUAAUACAUGCUAUCAAGCCCGACUUCUUGAAGGGUUGUAUUUAUUAGAUACAAACCAAUAUUCUUCGUGUCUAUUGUGAUGACUCAUAAUAACUGAUCGAAUCGCAUGGUCCUUGACCGCGAUAAAUCAUUCAAGUUUCUGCCCCAUCAGCUUUCGAUGGUAGUGUAUUGGACUACCAUGGCUUUAACGGGUAACGGAGGAUUAGGGUUCGAUUCCGGAGAGGGAGCCUGAGAAACGGCUACCACAUCUAAGGAAGGCAGCAGG
This 397-nucleotide ribosomal RNA is filed under the name Anteholosticha pulchra. Its description in RNAcentral is "partial small subunit ribosomal RNA". It matches the Rfam family "Eukaryotic small subunit ribosomal RNA", at positions 30 to 432 of the family's 1831-position model. The record is from RNAcentral. Lineage: Eukaryota; Ciliophora; Spirotrichea; Urostylida; Holostichidae.